AUGCAGUCGAGCGGAUGAAAGAGGAGCUUGCUCCUUGGAUUCAGCGGCGGACGGGUGAGUAACACGUGGGCAACCUGCCUGUAAGACUGGGAUAACUCCGGGAAACCGGGGCUAAUACCGGAUAACUUCUUUUCUCGCAUGGGAAGAGGUUGAAAGACGGUUUUGCUGUCACUUACAGAUGGGCCCGCGGCGCAUUAGCUAGUUGGUGGGGUAACGGCCUACCAAGGCAACGAUGCGUAGCCGACCUGAGAGGGUGAUCGGCCACACUGGGACUGAGACACGGCCCAGACUCCUACGGGAGGCAGCAGUAGGGAAUCUUCCGCAAUGGACGAAAGUCUGACGGAGCAACGCCGCGUGAGUGACGAAGGCCUUCGGGUCGUAAAACUCUGUUAUCAGGGAAGAACAAGCAUCAUUUAACUGAUGGUGCCUUGACGGUACCUGACCAGAAAGCCACGGCUAACUACGUGCCAGCAGCCGCGGUAAUACGUAGGUGGCAAGCGUUGUCCGGAAUUAUUGGGCGUAAAGCGCGCGCAGGCGGCUUCUUAAGUCUGAUGUGAAAGCCCACGGCUCAACCGUGGAGGGUCAUUGGAAACUGGGAGGCUUGAGUGCAGAAGAGAAGAGCGGAAUUCCACGUGUAGCGGUGAAAUGCGUAGAGAUGUGGAGGAACACCAGUGGCGAAGGCGGCUCUUUGGUCUGUAACUGACGCUGAGGCGCGAAAGCGUGGGGAGAGAACAGGAUUAGAUACCCUGGUAUUCCACGCCGUAAACGAUGAGUGCUAAGUGUUAGGGGGUUUCCGCCCCUUAGUGCUGCAGCAAACGCAUUAAGCACUCCGCCUGGGGAGUACGGCCGCAAGGCUGAAACUCAAAGGAAUUGACGGGGGCCCGCACAAGCGGUGGAGCAUGUGGUUUAAUUCGAAGCAACGCGAAGAACCUUACCAGGUCUUGACAUCCCGCUGACCGGUGCAGAGAUGUGCCUUUCCCUUCGGGGACAGCGGUGACAGGUGGUGCAGGGUUGUCGUCAGCUCGUGUCCUGAGAUGUUGGGUUAAGUCCCGCAACGAGCGCAACCCUUGAUCUUAGUUGCCAGCAUUGAAUUUGGGCACUCUAAAGGUGACGGCCCGGUGACAAACCGGAAGAAGGUGGGGGAAUAACGUCCAAACCACAAGGCCCCCUAGGACCUGGGGCUAACACCCGUGCUAACAGUGGAGUGGUCCAAAAGGGCGACCGAAGACCCCCAGGGUUUUACGGAAUCC
RNAcentral lists this ribosomal RNA (1250 nucleotides) under Siminovitchia fortis. RNAcentral describes it as "bacterial SSU rRNA". It matches the Rfam family "Bacterial small subunit ribosomal RNA", at positions 55 to 1274 of the family's 1533-position model. Lineage: Bacteria; Bacillati; Bacillota; Bacilli; Caryophanales; Bacillaceae. The record is from RNAcentral.